UAGGUGGGGGGGGCAAUUCAUGCAAGCCUGAGCGACAGAUAGGAGCUGCUCUUGACGUAGCGGCGGAGGGGGGCCGGGGGUACUCCUUAGACGGGAACUUAAGAGAAGGAGCUAUCCGGAUAACAUUUGGAACCGCAUGGUUCUAAAGUGAAAGAUGGUUUUGCUAUCACUUUUUCAUUGGACCCGCGCCGUAUUAGCUAGUUGGUAAGGUAACGGCUUACCAAGGCGACGAUACGUAGCCGACCUGAGAGGGUGAUCGGCCACACUGGAACUGAGACACGGUCCAGACUCCUACGGGAGGCAGCAGUAGGGAAUCUUCCGCAAUGGGCGAAAGCCUGACGGAGCAACGCCGCGUGAGUGAUGAAGGGUUUCGGCUCGUAAAACUCUGUUAUUAGGGAAGAACAAACGUGUAAGUAACUUGUGCACGUCUUGACGGUACCUAAUCAGAAAGCCACGGCUAACUACGUGCCAGCAGCCGCGGUAAUACGUAGGUGGCAAGCGUUAUCCGGAAUUAUUGGGCGUAAAGCGCGCGUAGGCGGUUUCUUAAGUCUGAUGUGAAAGCCCACGGCUCAACCGUGGAGGGUCAUUGGAAACUGGGAAACUUGAGUGCAGAAGAGGAAAGUGGAAUUCCAUGUGUAGCGGUGAAAUGCGCAGAGAUAUGGAGGAACACCAGUGGCGAAGGCGACUUUCUGGUCUGUAACUGACGCUGAUGUGCGAAAGCGUGGGGAUCAAACAGGAUUAGAUACCCUGGUAGUCCACGCCGUAAACGAUGAGUGCUAAGUGUUAGGGGGUUUCCGCCCCUUAGUGCUGCAGCUAACGCAUUAAGCACUCCGCCCUGGGGGAGUAACGACCCGCAAGGGUUUGAAACCUCAAAGGAAAUUUGACGGGACCCCGCACAGCCGGCUGAAGCAUGUUGGGCUUUUAAAUUUCUGCAAAAGGCCCA
Molecule: ribosomal RNA, 943 nt
Filed under: Staphylococcus sp.
Lineage: Bacteria; Bacillati; Bacillota; Bacilli; Caryophanales; Staphylococcaceae
Description: bacterial SSU rRNA
Rfam family: Bacterial small subunit ribosomal RNA
Source: RNAcentral